CCUACGGGGCGCAGCAGUGGGGAAUAUUGCACAAUGGGGGAAACCCUGAUGCAGCGACGCCGCGUGGGUGAAGAAGUAUUUCGGUAUGUAAAGCCCUAUCAGCAGGGAAGAAAAAAAUGACGGUACCUGACUAAGAAGCACCGGCUAAAUACGUGCCAGCAGCCGCGGUAAUACGUAUGGUGCAAGCGUUAUCCGGAUUUACUGGGCGUAAAGGGAGCGCAGGCGGCGCGCCAAGUCUGAUGAGAAACCCCGGGGCUCAA
RNAcentral lists this ribosomal RNA (260 nucleotides) under uncultured bacterium. RNAcentral's name for it is "partial 16S ribosomal RNA". It matches the Rfam family "Bacterial small subunit ribosomal RNA", at positions 338 to 612 of the family's 1533-position model. The record is from RNAcentral.